AUGGUAAACUCUCCUUCAGGUGCAGCUCUAAUCGGGGUAUCAUGUCUUCCAAACUUGAAGAAGUUAACUGGGACAGGCAAACCAUUUUUGUUCCUGCAGCGCAAAGUAACUUUACUUCCAGUCAUAACAGGAAGAGCAGGGAUCUCCAUGAUGAAGGGGCCACCUGAACAACACCAGAGUGUCAAAUUGUUCACAGGUUUUCUUCAAGGGUUUGAAAAGUGCCCUGCAACAGGAUUUGUUAAUGAGACUGAAGUGUUCACACCAGUAAACUCCUCUAUCUGCAAGAGGAGAUGGAUCCGAGACUGCAGGUGGAACCACUGAUCCUCCCAAAGCCUCCAGAAGCUCCACAUGUCUCUGUUUCUGAAACUGAUAUCCUCUUCAGUGUCCACUCAGUAUUCCCACUGUAGUUUCCCUCCUCACAGCUCAGAUGGACAAACUCUCCUGUAAAAAACUGCUGACGGUUUGGAUGGACAUUCAGAGAGACUGGAAGAAAAAUUGACACAUGAAAGAUGCAGACACAACAAGUUUUAUAAUUUUAGAAUCAGGUAUUAUUGUAAUUUUUUAUUUGACCUUUCAGCAGCUUACUUUCAGAAACUGUGAGUCUAGAAUCAAGCAGCUCAAUCAGUCCUGCAAUGGGAGAUCACAGCAAGUCUCAUCAGACUAAGUAUGAGGGGAGUUAAUACUUUCACUCAUAGUGUUUUUAUACACAGUGAUAUUUCACACAUAUCACUAUAAUAUAAUCUAAAGUAAAAGGAGGAUGCAUUCUGUUCCUUCUCUGUUUAUUAUUUGGACACUUUUCUUGUUUCAUUUGGAGUUACAUAGAAUUUUAUUCUUAUUCCAGGAAGGAACCACAUACACAGUCUUGUUUCUGUGAUGUACAGAUUCAAACACACAGUCUUGAAAAAUAGCAUUUCCUUCUUGAAAGCAUUAAACUAUUUUUAAAACCACCAAGAGCAAGAAAAGUAGUGGAUAAGCCAAAUACUGCUGUGGUUACUUUGUGUUAGCAGAACAUAUUGGCAAGAAUCACAAUACAGGAACUUUGAGUGUCAUUAAAAAAGGGCUUUCCCCCAUGAGAGAGUCAGCUUCCUUGUUUUAGUGCACAAACAUGACCAAAUAAAGAUUAUUCUGAUUCUGUUUCCUGAUCUCUAAGUUUUCUUGCACAUUGUACAUACUUAAAACAAGCAGGCUUCAUCGAGGUUUCAUCCUGCAGAGGACUGCAGUGAAAUAGCUGAACUAUUCAACUGUAGGAAUGCAGUUUUUCUUUGUUUAACCCACGGAAGACCAGCACAGCAAAAAAAGUUUCAUUCAGUGACACUGAGGAGCAUUCUAUCACAUAGGAAAUCACAACCUAUUUAUGUGAGCAACGUCUAAAUUUUGUUGAAGGUGAAACAAAUAAAGUGUUAUGUGUCAUGAAAGCUCUAAAAAAGAAAGAAGCAGAGGAAUGAUU
RNAcentral lists this long non-coding RNA (1447 nucleotides) under Oreochromis niloticus (Nile tilapia). RNAcentral's name for it is "lncRNA (ENSONIG00000037242.1)". The record is from RNAcentral. Lineage: Eukaryota; Metazoa; Chordata; Actinopteri; Cichliformes; Cichlidae.